This 869-nucleotide ribosomal RNA is filed under the name uncultured archaeon. RNAcentral describes it as "bacterial SSU rRNA". It matches the Rfam family "Archaeal small subunit ribosomal RNA", at positions 1 to 878 of the family's 1478-position model. The record is from RNAcentral.
CUCCGGUUGAUCCUGCCGGACCUGACUGCUAUCGGAUUGGUACUAAGCCAUGCGAGUCAUUGUAGCAAUACAAGGCGGACGGCUCAGUAACACGUAGUCAACCUAACUCGUGGACGUGGAUAACCUCGGGAAACUGAGAAUAAACCGCGAUAGAUCAUUAUGCCUGGAAUGGCUUAUGGUCCAAACAGUUUACUGCCAUGGGAUGGGACUGCGGCCUAUCAGCUUGUUGGUGAGGUAAUGGCCCACCAAGGCGAUUACAGGUACGGGCUCUGAGAGGAGAAGCCCGGAGAUGGGUACUGAGACACGGACCCAGGCCCUAUGGGGCGCAGCAGGCGAGAAACCUUAGCAAUGUGCGAAAGCACGACUGGGUCAGUCCGAGUGAUUCCUGAUAAAGGAGUCUUUUGCUUGUCCUAAAAGCACAGGUGAAUAAGGGGUGGGCAAGUCUGGUGUCAGCCGCCGCGGUAAUACCAGCACCUCGAGUGGUCAGGACGUUUAUUGGGCCUAAAGCAUCCGUAGCCGGCUUUGCAAGUCUUCGGUUAAAUCCACCUGCUCAACAGAUGGGCUGCCGGAGAUACUACAAAGCUAGGGAGCGGGAGAGGCAGACGGUAUUCGGUGGGUAGGGGUAAAAUCCACUGAUCCAUCGAGGACCACCAGUGGCGAAGGCGGUCUGCCAGAACACGUUCGACGGUGAGGGAUGAAAGCUGGGGGAGCAAACCGGAUUAGAUACCCGGGUAGUCCCAGCUGUAAACGAUGCAAACUCGGUGAUGCAUUGGCUUAUGGCCAAUGCAGUGCCGCAGGGAAGCCGUUAAGUUUGCCGCCUGGGAAGUACGGACGCAAGUCUGAAACUUAAAGGAAUUGGCGGGGGAGCA